UAUCGAUGGCGAUUUUAAACCAAUUCGGAUCACACAAGGAGUGAAAAUGUUUUUCAUCGCUCAGUAUUCCUUAGAGUAUACUAAAUUGUCAGUGAGUGAAUAUUGUAGUUACGGGUGAUUGAAUUUGUUUGACAGUUGCGGAAGUAAACAGCCUUUGUUUGAGUUUUGUUUUCUUGCUCAGUUUGCAUUCGUUAUGAUAUUAGCAGUGGUAAAGAGAAAAAGUUUAUUUACAGCAUUUAAUAUAGAAUGAGCAAAAACGAAUCUAUAAGGCUAAAUGGCUUGAAAUUGUAAUCCCUUGCACGUUUCAAUCGUGAUGGUGGCUUUAUUAAAGAGAAAAUGAUAUACUGUAUUUCAAUUAUUUUCAAUACAAUGAAAAAGUCAUUAUCUAUUCUUAGAACUAAACUACUUAAGUGCUCACAGACGUUUAAACCAAGAACGUUUGUCUCAGUUUUUAUGUGGUGCAAGUAAUUCCAGUUUGAAUUUCGCUUCUAGAACGAGGAAUGUUUGACUGUUGUUUCCAUUGUGUGAGCCUGAGUGCUGACCGCGGUAGCAGGAUUUGAUGAGGAAUAUUUUAGUGGCCAUGUAUUUCAAAGUGGUUGAUGCGCUUCUCGUCUGAACAAGUUUGUAGAACAGUACGUAUUGUUCUAAGAGAAGCGCCGAGUUUCCGAAGCUUAGCGAGGAAACUUGUGAUCAUCGGAAAAAUUGUCGGCAUGACAAAUUAGCUACCUUAGAGGAGUGAGGAGUGUAAUUUUUGUUAUCACAAGAUCAAUGUCCACCGGGGGAGCCCAAAGGGACACUUGACCGGCUGAUCGAAGACACUGUAAGUAAGUAAACAAAUGUUGCAAAUAGAACAUAAUUUAUUAAGAAUCCUAACUGGUGGGAGGCUGACCAAUUGGCUAUUUACACAACGCGCUGGAGGAGUUGAAACUCUUUGCACCAUUUCCUUCACCCUCCUCUUCCCUAAAAGCCUUGCCCCAAAUGCCUGGCAUUUUGUCCUCGCCUUAACUCCCUCACCAAAGUGCCAGUCCUAGCUGUUUGUUUUGCCUUAGUUUCCCUCGUCCUUCUCUUCCCCUUAUAGUCUCGUUCCAUUCACUUGUCUUUCAUUUUGUCUUGCCCCAAAUUCCCCUGCCCUCUCCUCCCUCUAAUAGCCUCGCCUCAUUCUCUUGCCUUCCUCUUUGUCUCGUCUUUUAAAUUCCCCCGCCCUCUCAUCCCCUUUUAGUCUCGCCUCAUUCCCUUGGCUUCCUUUUUUUUUCCUCCUGAUUUUCCUUCCCUCUCUCCUUUAUAGUCUCGUUCUAGAUCUAUUCUCAUGUAAGUUACAGUUUGUUUCGCCCGAAUUUCCUCGAAAUGUUCUCUCCUUUAUGGUCUCAUCCCAAUCACUUGGCUUCCCUUUUGUCUCACGAAAUUUCCUCGGUCCCUCCUCCCCCUAAUAGCCUUGGCCUAUUCAUCUGGCUUACAUUUCGUCCCGCUGUGUUUUCACUUUCGGCGGAUAUUUCCCCACCUCUCCUACCCUAGUGCGGGCCCUAGGGUUUUAUUCAGGUGAGUAAGACCCCGGAAAGGAUAACCUGCAUGCAGAAAGCUUAACUGUAACAGGGACCAGAGUGGAUCAUGGAAAAGAGGGUCGUGAUUUCUCUUUUACAAUGACAUUAAAAAAAUACCAGAAAAUUUAAUUUAUCAUUGUGGUAAAGAAUAAAAAAUUGACGAUUUAUAACCUUCGGAUCGGAAAUUUUUUCUUUUUUCCCACUUGACAUGACUAAAGGAAAAUUGGAUCAUAGUAAUUUAAACUUGAGUUUCAUGAGGAACAUACGCAAACACAGUAAAGUGUAGUUAAGUAACGCCAUUUGUUACGAAAUUUUCUUAAAAAGUCGCUGAUCAUCAACAUCUUACUGCGUGCACUGGUGAAAACAAGCUCAGUGAUUGCUGAGAUCUGAAUAAACACAAUCAUUCUUUUGUUGCUGUUGUUGUUGCUGUUCUCGUUGCCACGCACGGAAUAAUCCCACGCGUAAAAAUAAAAAAAAGAAAACCGUUCAUUCUUCUUAGAGGGCCUUGAUGAAGUUGAACAGAUACUUCAGAUAAGACGUGUUUUUUUUUUUUAAUAAUAGCAGAGGUCUCAGGCCUGCAAAAUUAAGUUAUAGCUGAGAAUUGGGAGAAAAUUAAACUGACAACUUAGACUAGCAGAUUAUGUCACCCAGACCCUAUUCAAGAUCAUGUUUCUGCAAGUAGAAUUAGUGUGUUCAUUCUUCUUGGUUUUGUGCUUAUGCCAGUGCUUGUGUCGCUGCCGUCCUCACUAGCUUAUGCUUAUGCUUGUGAUUAUUUUGCUAAUGAAAGCUACACCUAAAAAGAGAGAAAUAACCGCCUUUUUUCAGGUAACAGCACAUGAGCGCGUGCGCGUAGAAAACGUAAGAGAUUUCCCUCAAACUAAGCUCGAUAGCGAAAUAAAUGCUCA
Molecule: long non-coding RNA, 2443 nt
Organism: Orbicella faveolata
Lineage: Eukaryota; Metazoa; Cnidaria; Anthozoa; Scleractinia; Merulinidae
Source: RefSeq, a predicted model, not a curated record